GCUAGCUAAUGGUGGAAAGAAGGAUGAAGGAAAUUAUCUAAGGCAUAGUCACCCUCAAGAAUCAAAGGAAUUAUUUCACUUCCUCCUGAAGACUUUCGCAGAAUCUCUCCCUGACUUCGAUGCAAGAGAAAUAAUUCAAAGCUAGCUCUGUAGUUGUUUGGACAUAGUCUUAUCAAAUGCUACUCUUACUAACACAGUACUGAUUUUAUUCUUUCGUGAAUAGUGUGUCUCAGUUUCUGCAAAUAUUUCCAUGCCCCAGAUCUCAUUUGAACUUGUUAUCUGCCCUCUCUGCUCCAUCCCAAUAGCUACUGUACUAAUGCAGGGCCUCCUCUCCCUCAGUUUGACUGUGGUAGUGGCUUCCUUGCCUGUCUCCAUGCCUCUGGUACAGCUCAGCUGGCUUCACAACUCCUCCACAGCCUCCAGGAAGAAUUGUGACCUCCUGGUAUGGGAAUCCAAAGUCUACUACAAAAAUCCACAUCUGCUGAAACCCAGUAUCCAUUAUCACUGCUGAAGAAUGUGACUUUUGCCUCCUUUCUGCCUUCUGGAGCUCCCAUGAAUGCAUCUUAUUGAUGCACAACUCUGGAGGGCAUUUGUCAAGAAUAAUUGGCAGCAGUCAUUUAUUAUCACAUGGCCUGAGCUGGUGAUAACAGUUGAUGUCAACAAAGUUACCAACAAAACUCCAAAGGAAAAGGGGGAGAUUUAUUAACUAAAUGAAAUGCCGAGGUUACCUUUGCACUGGGACCAAUGGGCAUUAAAGUACCACCUGAGCAGGUUUGUGCAUUCCAAGCCCUGUUGCUCCAACCCCAAAAGGAAUACGGUCAGCACUUCUGGAAGAGACACUGCAGGAGAUCCACUGGAAUUGAAGGUACGUUGGAGAGAGGAUGCUAAUGGAGCCUCUGGCAAGCCCCCAGACACGUGUCCUCUUCCUGUAUAACAGAUCCCUAACAGAAGCAAAUGCAGAUAUGACUUGGACCAUUCUGAAAUAGACUUCAUAUUUUGAAGUGGAAAUAUUUUGAAGAUAAAGCUUUGAAAAUGCCAAGAGCAACACCAUGACUAACGGAUAGCAGCAAAAACAAAGUACACAGAAUCAGGAGUCACUCCUAGGCGUGGAGGACCCUCCUCCCUGAACUGAAGUGGACGCAUGCAGCACAGAAGGUGGACUGCAGUGGCUGGAGAGGAGCACACCACUCAGAUCGCUUUCGAGGGACCCUCAUGGAUCAGACUCUAGCUGAUCCCUCUUCUAAAUCCCACAUGUUCAGAGUAUGCUCUUCCUAGGCAGAAAGAGAGAGAAUACCAUAUGAGAUCGCUCAUAUGUGGAAUCAAAAAAAAAAAAGCAUAAAUACAAAACAGAAAUAGACUCAUGGACAGAGAAUACAAACUUGUGGU
Molecule: non-coding RNA, 1386 nt
Organism: Vicugna pacos (alpaca)
Lineage: Eukaryota; Metazoa; Chordata; Mammalia; Artiodactyla; Camelidae
Source: RefSeq, a predicted model, not a curated record